CUCUUUCUCCUCCAUAAAAUUUUCUGAGAAAUCUCUUUUUCUUUCUCUCGUGAUUAAUAAGAAAGAGAUUGACCAAUUCACGGUAAUAAAUCAUAAAUCUGCAAAUUAAACCCAUAAAUCUCUUUUCUGCUAAAAUUUGGCUACACACUCCCCAUUUCUCCAUCGUUUUUGGGUUUGAGUUCAGGAUAUGACGAUGGAGUGGAUUCUUUUUUAGUAGGUCGCAUGCUUCUUUUUCGUAUCUUUUCUUCCUUUGCCAAUAUUGAUUUGGUUGGUCGCUUGCAUCUUCCAAGUAUGUUUCAAUUGAAUUGCUAGUUGAUGAUGGACUUGUCAUUGAAAAAAUAAUUUACUUCGAUUGUUUUCUGUUGAA
Long non-coding RNA from Papaver somniferum (opium poppy), 367 nucleotides. RefSeq lists it as uncharacterized. The transcript has 3 exons. The record is from RefSeq and is a predicted model, not a curated record. Lineage: Eukaryota; Viridiplantae; Streptophyta; Magnoliopsida; Ranunculales; Papaveraceae.